UCUCCCCCUUUAUUGAUCAUUCCAUUUAAGAGUUUAGAAUUUGAAGAUAAUGUUCAAUAAAAUUGUCAAUCUCAAAAAUGUAUUUUCUAUAAGUUUCAGCUCAUUUUCAUAAGACUCAAGGUUUGAGAUAAGACAGCCUUUAUAGAACUCAUCUCAAGGUAAUUAAAGCAUGUCUUGCAAUAUAAGGAGGUUCAUCAAAAUCAAUCCAUAAAAUUCAAGGUAUGCAUCAAAUUAAAGUUUCUUUAGGAUAAGAUACUGAAUAUCUAAAGCUCCCCUCAAAAGAUGCAUUCUUCUUUAAUCAUUCUUUUCUUUGGUUGAAUUUCAGAAUUUAAUAAUAAACGUGAAUAAAACUGAAAUUCUAUGUUAUCGAGAAUGUAGAGUGAUCUAGAAUUAUUCAAAAUUUAUAGUAUUCACUCUAUAUAUAUAUAUUCUGAUGAUAGUUUCUAAGAAUGUAGGAGAGAAAAACAUAUAGAUGAUCAUUGAGGUAUGUGUAUUUAUAGAACUC
RNAcentral lists this long non-coding RNA (505 nucleotides) under Phoenix dactylifera (date palm). RNAcentral's name for it is "long non-coding RNA (PDAC_LNC016576)". Lineage: Eukaryota; Viridiplantae; Streptophyta; Magnoliopsida; Arecales; Arecaceae. The record is from RNAcentral.